AAAGGGAAAUGAUGAAUAAAACCAUUAAAAAAUAUCUCAGGGAUCUGAAUUUUACCAGACUAUAAUUUGCAAAACCUUGAUAUUCCCUUU
Small nucleolar RNA from Cebus imitator (Panamanian white-faced capuchin), 90 nucleotides. RefSeq annotates it as small nucleolar RNA Z122. The transcript has a single exon. The record is from RefSeq and is a predicted model, not a curated record. Lineage: Eukaryota; Metazoa; Chordata; Mammalia; Primates; Cebidae.